Molecule: ribosomal RNA, 473 nt
Filed under: uncultured Pseudomonas sp.
Lineage: Bacteria; Pseudomonadati; Pseudomonadota; Gammaproteobacteria; Pseudomonadales; Pseudomonadaceae
Description: bacterial SSU rRNA
Rfam family: Bacterial small subunit ribosomal RNA
Source: RNAcentral
AACGCCGCGUGAACGAUGAAAGUUUUUCGAUUGUAAAAAUUUGUUGUUUGGGGAGGACAAGUACCGUUCGUAUACGGCGGUACCUUGACGGUACCUAACGAGAAAGCCCCGGCUAACUACGUGCCAGCAGCCGCGGUAAUACGUAGGGGGCAAGCGUUGUCCGGAAUUAUUGGGCGUAAAGCGCGCGCAGGUGGUUCCUUAAGUCUGAUGUGAAAGCCCCCGGCUCAACCGUGGAGGGUCAUUGGAAACUGGGGAACUUGAGUGCAGGAGAGGAAAGUGGAAUUCCACGUGUAGCGGUGAAAUGCGUAGAGAUGUGGAGGAACACCAGUGGCGAAGGCGACUUUCUGGCCUGUAACUGACACUGAGGCGCGAAAGCGUGGGGAGCGAACAGGAUUAGAUACCCUGGUAGUCCCCGCCGUAAACGAUGAGUGCUAAGUGUUAGGGGGUUUCCGCCCCUUAGUGCCGCAGCUAAC